UAUGUAUAUGUAUACCGUAUAUUUUAUUUCCCUGGGAUUGUAGUUCAAUUGGUCAGAGCACCGCCCUGUCAAG
This 73-nucleotide transfer RNA is filed under the name Monimopetalum chinense. Its description in RNAcentral is "tRNA-Glu". Lineage: Eukaryota; Viridiplantae; Streptophyta; Magnoliopsida; Celastrales; Celastraceae. The record is from RNAcentral.